Molecule: ribosomal RNA, 329 nt
Filed under: uncultured Bacillus sp.
Lineage: Bacteria; Bacillati; Bacillota; Bacilli; Caryophanales; Bacillaceae
Description: bacterial SSU rRNA
Rfam family: Bacterial small subunit ribosomal RNA
Source: RNAcentral
UGACAGUGCAUGGUUGUCCGUCAGCUCAGUCGUCGUGAUGUGUAAGUCCCGCACGAGCGCAACCCUUGAUCUUAGUUGCCAGCAUUCAGUUGGGCACUCUAAGGUGACUGCCGGUGACACCGGAGGAAGGUGGGGAUGACGUCAAAUCAUCAUGCCCCUUAUGACCUGGGCUACACACGUGCUACAAUGGAUGGUACAAAGGGCUGCAAACCCGCGAGGGNAAGCGAAUCCCAUAGCCAUUCUCAGUUCGGAUUGCAGGCUGAACUCGCCUGCAUGAAGCCGGAAUCGCUAGUAUCGCGUCAGCAUGCCGGGGUGAAUACGUUCCCGGG